GGGGCCCUACGGGACGCAGCAGUGAGGAAUAUUGGUCAAUGGACGGAAGUCUGAACCAGCCAUGCCGCGUGCAGGAAGACGGCUCUAUGAGUUGUAAACUGCUUUUGUACAAGGGUAAACCUGAAUACGUGUAUUCAGCUGAAAGUACUGUACGAAUAAGGAUCGGCUAACUCCGUGCCAGCAGCCGCGGUAAUACAUAGGGGGCAAGCGUUAUCCGGAAUUAUUGGGUGUAAAGGGAGCGUAGACGGAAGAACAAGUUGGUUGUGAAAUCCCUCGGCUCAACUGAGGAACUGCAACCACACCUA
This 305-nucleotide ribosomal RNA is filed under the name uncultured bacterium. RNAcentral's name for it is "bacterial SSU rRNA". It matches the Rfam family "Bacterial small subunit ribosomal RNA", at positions 333 to 635 of the family's 1533-position model. The record is from RNAcentral.